This 249-nucleotide long non-coding RNA is filed under the name Elaeis guineensis (African oil palm). RNAcentral's name for it is "long non-coding RNA (EGUI_LNC044374)". The record is from RNAcentral. Lineage: Eukaryota; Viridiplantae; Streptophyta; Magnoliopsida; Arecales; Arecaceae.
CUGGAUAUGGUGGAAUAUGUAUGAAGAUUGUGAGUAGGUCAACAUGAAAUCGAUGACUCUUGGUAAGAGAAGAUCACAUCUUACUUGCUCUGAUCGAUUGAUGAUUCAGAAAAUUUUUGAUCAAAGUAAAAUAAAAAUAAAUUUUUUAAUAUUUUAUUAAUCAAAUUAUCAUUAAAGAUUAAGAGAAAUAUGAGUAUGAUAUUAGAUUUGACAUCAUUUCAUAUCCAAAGUUAUAUUUGGGAUGCAGGA